This 77-nucleotide transfer RNA is filed under the name Halomonas halmophila. RNAcentral's name for it is "tRNA-Asp". It matches the Rfam family "tRNA". From Rfam's summary of the family: Transfer RNA (tRNA) molecules are approximately 80 nucleotides in length. Their secondary structure includes four short double-helical elements and three loops (D, anti-codon, and T loops). Lineage: Bacteria; Pseudomonadati; Pseudomonadota; Gammaproteobacteria; Oceanospirillales; Halomonadaceae. The record is from RNAcentral. RNAcentral also lists the same sequence under 332 other names.
GGACCGGUAGUUCAGUUGGUUAGAAUGCCGGCCUGUCACGCCGGAGGUCGCGGGUUCGAGUCCCGUCCGGUCCGCCA